GCCCGGUUAGCUCAAUCGGUAGAGCGUGAGACUCUUAUCAUAGCUCCAUGGCAGUGAAAGCAAUCUCAAGGUUGCGGGUUCGACCCCCGCAUCGGGCU
Molecule: transfer RNA, 98 nt
Filed under: Mytilinidion resinicola
Lineage: Eukaryota; Fungi; Ascomycota; Dothideomycetes; Mytilinidiales; Mytilinidiaceae
Rfam family: tRNA
About the family: Transfer RNA (tRNA) molecules are approximately 80 nucleotides in length. Their secondary structure includes four short double-helical elements and three loops (D, anti-codon, and T loops).
Source: Rfam by way of RNAcentral